AAUAGUCAUAUUCAUUUGACGUUAGCUGCAGAAGAAGCACCGGCUAACUCCGUGCCAGCAGCCGCGGUAAUACGGGAGGGUGCGAGCGUUAAUCGGAAUUACUGGGCGUAAAAGCGCAUGCAGGUGGUUUGUUAAGUCAGAUGUGAAAGCCCGGGGCUCAACCUCGGAAUUGCAUUUGAAACUGGCAAACUAGAGUACUGUAGAGGGGGUAGAAUUUCAGGUGUAGCGGUGAAAUGCGUAGAGAUCUGAAGGAAUACCGGUGGCGAAGGACGGCCCCUCGGACAGAUACUGACACUCAGAUGCGAAAGCGUGGGGAGCAAACAGGAUUAGAUACCCUGGUAG
Molecule: ribosomal RNA, 342 nt
Filed under: uncultured bacterium
Lineage: Bacteria
Description: bacterial SSU rRNA
Rfam family: Bacterial small subunit ribosomal RNA
Source: RNAcentral